GCGAGUAUGGCCCUCACGGGUCUAAUCCACCAUAAACACCUUUGUGAACCAGUCAGGGGGACUCGGCCGUGAAAGCCCAGGCAAUUAGCGGAAGGGCCCUCCUUUGCAAACCCGUUUAGAAGUCUUGAAAGUACUUUUGUAUAAUCUAGUA
RNAcentral lists this unclassified non-coding RNA (151 nucleotides) under soil metagenome. Its description in RNAcentral is "partial internal transcribed spacer 1". The record is from RNAcentral.